This 680-nucleotide long non-coding RNA is filed under the name Cervus hanglu yarkandensis (Yarkand deer). RNAcentral's name for it is "lncRNA (ENSCHYG00000015033.1)". The record is from RNAcentral. Lineage: Eukaryota; Metazoa; Chordata; Mammalia; Artiodactyla; Cervidae.
AUGAAAGCCGAGGUAAUAUUUAUAAAUUCCUUCCCUAAGGAUGGAUGGAAUGUUCUGAGCUGCAGCAGAAAGCACCUUUUUGGGGAUGAAGGGAGGUGGUGUAAGUGCAGUUAUUCAGUGAUCCAAAGGAAAAGGGAACAAGGGUGUGGAGGGGCUGCUCCACGUCUUUUCUGGAAGCACGGGCUGGUCCACACGCCUGGGCUCCUCGCUCACGUCUCCGGGGCCUCCCUCCCAUCCAGGAAGGCUUGGGGCCUCCUUUCUGAUGCUCUGGACCCCUCACCACCCCACCCUACUCAACGAGGCCAGGGACCCACGCCUGACAAAUAUGGCAAAACCCAGCGAGGCACAAUCCCCCUCGACCUUGAUGCCGGAUUCGCACCUGCUGGCAGAAGGGAGGCCCAUGCAUCACCAACCCAUGUGUGCUGGUUCCCUGAGGCUCAAGGUUAUGAGAGGGUCAUCUGAUGCCUCUGGGAGCCAGGGUUUAAUGCAGGAGGCACGUCUCUUACUGCUCUGGCAUCACGGGGGCCUCUCCAGUGCUGGAGUCUUCACUCUACACUUCCCAGCAGGGAAGUAAAUGCAGGGAAACCAAGGACACAGACCAGUGUUCCUUCCACCCUGUAAUCCACUCAGAUCUUAGAGCUCUAUGUGGAUUUCUAACCACCUUUUGCUGCCAACUCAGC